Molecule: long non-coding RNA, 1068 nt
Organism: Engraulis encrasicolus (European anchovy)
Lineage: Eukaryota; Metazoa; Chordata; Actinopteri; Clupeiformes; Engraulidae
Exons: 6
Source: RefSeq, a predicted model, not a curated record
UCGUCAUGCCAAUUAGGUUGGUUUUAGAUCGGCACAAUAGCGGCAGAAGAGACUGUUUCCUGCUAUGGUUUGCCGAUGGUUUGCCAACUUAACCCCGACAUCGGCAGUGCGACGCUUUGCCGAUCAAUUCCCUGCAGUUCCCUUCCGAUGGUUUGCCAAUGGUUUGCCAACUUAACACCGACCAUCAACUGACGAAUGUCCCAAACACAGUUUGCCGAUGGUUUGCCAACCUAACCCCGACCAUCGGCAACGCGACGCUUUGCAGAUCAUUUGAAGACCCCAAAACCAAAAGCCAGCGCCUGCUUGCUUGCAACCUGAGCAGCGCGAGUCCUGUUUGAAAUUAUUUCUGUUGUCAAGGGAACGAACAUUUUCUGUUUACUUUACUGGACGUCGCAGCAGUAGCCACCUCAAUCGUUUUUAGUUAGACGGCAUUACCAUUAUUUCUGUUGAAAUGUAGGUUUCAACAUUACAAGUCAGGCUUUAUUAAACAUUUAAUUAGGUUGCUGAAAUAAAUCUCUCCACCUGUAAUGCUGUCUCGAAGGACAUCCUCGUCGAGUUUCUAAUCGAUAUCCGACCUCUUUCCCUUACCGUUAGCAAGUUAGCUAACGUGUCAAACGUACCCAGCAACCAGGCAUACUACUCCCGUAAUCAAGUUUCCUGCUGGAGUGGGGCUGUUGAUUCUUGUCUAGCCCUGCCCAUGAUGACUGAUUGAAAGGACAUUACAAAAUAGACUACGUCAAUUCACCACAAGUCAAAAUCAGAUCAACAGACAGGGACCUUCAGCCUUCUCUUGGGAAUAUGCCAGAUAAGCCAUAACAAGAAAAAAUGGUGUUAUGCCCCUGCGGUUGUGAAGAGGAUGCUGUGGAGGUGGCAGCAUGAACGUGUCACACAGACAUUGGCUAAACUACUCGGCUUCUACACUUGCCCUCAGAGUUCACAUAUGGUUAAGUGCACAGGUGUCCAUCCAGGUUCAUGCUGAUGCUGGUAACAAGAGGAAAACAUGCUGAUUGGAAUGAUUCAACGAUGGACACUUUGCUUAAUUGUGGAAAAAAUAAAUGGGAAAACGUC